AGUGAACGCUGGCGGCGUGCUUAACACAUGCAAGUCGAACGAGAACGGAAUAUAGCUUGCUAUAUUUGUCAGCUAAGUGGCGCACGGGUGAGUAAUGUAUAGAUAACCUGCCCUUAAGAAAGGAAUAACAGUUGGAAACGACUGCUAAUGCCCUAUAUGCCUUUAAUACAUAAGUAUGCAAGGGAAACGCUUUAGUGCUUAAGGAUGGGUCUGUAUGGUAUCAGCUUGUUGGUGAGGUAAUGGCUCACCAAGGCUAUGACGCCUAACUGGUUUGAGAGGAUGAUACGGCACACUGGAACGGAGACACGGUCCAGACUCCUACGGGAGGCAGCAGUGGGGAAUAUUGCACAAUGGACGAAAGUCUGAUGCAGCAACGCCGCGUGGAGGAUGACACAUUUCGGUGCGUAAACUCCUUUUAUAUAGGAAGAUAAUGACGGUACUAUAUGAAUAAGCACCGGCUAACUCCGUGCCAGCAGCCGCCGUAA
RNAcentral lists this ribosomal RNA (485 nucleotides) under uncultured bacterium. Its description in RNAcentral is "partial 16S ribosomal RNA". It matches the Rfam family "Bacterial small subunit ribosomal RNA", at positions 29 to 523 of the family's 1533-position model. The record is from RNAcentral.